GGUGUGCUUCAUGGCAUAUGACGGCGUCUUUAGCACUCGCCUCACUUUCUUCAGCAUUUCCAUAUUUCUGCUCCUCCGUUCUGUUAUUGACCUGCGAAGAUGAGAAAGUGCGUCUCGCUCCAGCAUGGCUUCCAGAAACUUUAGAUCUAUGAAUGCUUGUUGCGGUUGGUUGUGGGAUCUAGCAUUUCGUUGUUACUUCGGUGACCCGUACUGCUUGUGUGCUGAUCUGUUUUUCAUUAAUGAAAUUUGGCUUUUUCCCCCCUUUUUACUUGCUUGUAGAAAUCCUGUGUUUUACUUGCAAUUUUGUUUGUAUCUCUACAUGUUCUUCGUUACGCUUCAAAUCCUUGUGCACGUCCGAUGUUUUGCAUUCUAAUAAUGAAUGAUUGUAGAAAUCUGUUUGGAUCUA
This is a long non-coding RNA of Zingiber officinale, 406 nucleotides long. RefSeq lists it as uncharacterized. The record is from RefSeq and is a predicted model, not a curated record. The transcript is spliced from 2 exons. NCBI's taxonomy places the organism in Eukaryota, Viridiplantae, Streptophyta, Magnoliopsida, Zingiberales, Zingiberaceae.